This 368-nucleotide ribosomal RNA is filed under the name Griffithsia sp. ARS-2011. RNAcentral's name for it is "bacterial LSU rRNA". It matches the Rfam family "Bacterial large subunit ribosomal RNA", at positions 2099 to 2465 of the family's 2925-position model. The record is from RNAcentral. Lineage: Eukaryota; Rhodophyta; Florideophyceae; Ceramiales; Ceramiaceae.
CUUUACUGUAGCUUGGAAUUGAAUUUGGGUUUAUUUUGUGCAGCAUAGGUGGGAGGCUAAGAUUUUAUAUUUGCGGAUAUAUAGGAGCCACCAGUGAGAUACCACUCUAAUUAAACUAGAAUUCUAAUCUUGAUGCCGUUAUCCGGCAAAGAAACAGUUCCAGGUGGGCAGUUUGACUGGGGCGGUCGCCUCCUAAAAAGUAACGGAGGCGUGCAAAGGUUUCUUCAGGCUGGUCGGAAAUCAGUCGUAGAGUGUAAAGGCAUAAAGAAGCUUGACUGCAAGACUUACAAGUCGAGCAGAGACGAAAGUCGGCCUUAGUGAUCCGACAGUUCUGAGUGGAAAGGCUGUCGCUCAACGGAUAAAAGUUA